This is a long non-coding RNA of Equus caballus (horse), 1937 nucleotides long. The record is from Ensembl. Lineage: Eukaryota; Metazoa; Chordata; Mammalia; Perissodactyla; Equidae.
UCUUCUCCUCUCUUCCGCUGAGCACCUUCAUUUUCUUUGGGGGAACGACCUCUCCCUCACUCUCAGUCCAGUAGUUCAGAUGAGCCAUACACACCCACCUCCACUCUCACGGGAGAGGGUGUAUAUUUCACCCCAUCUUCCACAAGGAUUGCUUCAGUGGCAGACAAGUGAAUUAAGCGAAAGAGAUCCAAUUCCAGAACUUUUGUAGGGACGAAAGGCAAAGAGAAGCUCUCUUUCCGCUGAGACUGAUAGCUAUAGGGAAGACAUAAGCCUGGAACUUUUGGAGGCACCCACAUGGAGAAAGCCUGCGAGAGUGAAGCCAACGAAAAGGAAAGCAGAACAGACAGGAGAGAGACUGAGUUCUGACCACAGUGUUUGAGCUCCUGGUUCCAGCCAUACCUGAAGACUUGCCAUGAAUUUUCAGUGAUAUAAACCAACAAAUUUCCUUAAAAAAAAAAAUUGUAAGCAGCUUAAGUUGAAUUUCCAUCACGUGCAAACAGCAGACUCCUGACUAAUAGGUGGGGCCUGUCUGAGGAGUUAGGUCGUCAUAGCUGUAUGUCUGGGUCCUAUGGAGCCACAGGCUGAAGCACAAGUCUUUGUCAUUGUGCCAGAUCACCGGGUGCAACCCUGAGCAAGAGAGGGGGGCAUCCUCCCACCUCUGCUGAGGUCACAGCCGGGCUCCAGGGAGACCACAACUAUGUGGCCCCUCUGGAUCCUCAAGGACUGCUGCCUUGAGAGGCUGGCAGAUCCCCCGGACAGGAGAAUAGUCUCAGCCAUCACAGGCCUGAGCAGCAAUGGAAGUGAAGAACCCUCAAGCGGCUUCACAGGCAGCCAAAUUCCACAAGGGGGCGGGGCAGUCGAGAGCAGAAGAAAGAGAGGCUCCUGGAACCAAGGGGGGACUAACUGCUCCCUGGACCUGUAUUUGUGCAGUGCAAAGGAGGGACCGAAGCAGCCGAGAGAACGUGCCUCUCAGAGCUCCACCUGCAGGAAUGUGUUUGACCAUCACGACUUCCCACAGGCUGCUCCCAGCCAAUGACAGCACAACAGGGACACUAAGGCAGGCCUGUGCCCAGGAGAAGCGGGACUCCUCUGACAGAUGACUUUGGCUCAAGGACUCCUCAUCAGUACAGCCAGAACUUUCGGAGAACUGCGCUACAUUCUAAGACUCCCUGUCUAAACUUCCUUCCUCUCCCUUUCCUCCGCAGAGGUCAGACCCGCAUCACAGCUAUGCUCUCCCGACCUCCUCUGGCUUUCUCACUGUUUCCCCUCUCAGGUCUUUUCCCUGAAAAUCUCCUGGGGUCUAAUCUCAUCUUGGCAUCUACACCUUGGAAGACCUGAAGAGAACCUGUUGCUAUUGUGUAUAAAACUCACUUCUGAGCUUCCUGGCAAUCAAAGGGAAAAUAUUGUGUAUGUUAAUCAUUAGUGCUCUUCAUCAAAUACUUCCAGUCCCCCUACUUCCAAGCACACUAGCAUUACCCAUCCAGGUUCAUUUUUGCCUGCUGCCCGGAAAGCUAAACACCAAGACGACGAGAUUGCAGCAGAGAAAGGGUUUACUCACAAGGCAGCCACGUGAGUAAGUGAGAGAAUGAGUCUCAAAUCUGCCUUCCUGAAAAUGGAGACUCAGGGAUAUUUAUGGGGUAGGAGGCAAGGUGGUCUAAAAUGUAGAGACAGAUGUUUGGAGGUGAGGAGAAGUGAGGUAAUUGAUGACCUGUGCAAGCGUAGUCAGACUCCAUGCCUCUUCCUAGGACGCAUGUUCACAAAGUGGCAGCGUGAGCUGGAUCGGGGGGUGGAGUUUUGAGCCUCUUGAUGUCAAAAGGUAGCUUAUGGGACAUCUGCAUGGGCCCAGUUGAUGAGUUCGUGGUCUCAACAGGCCUGAAGUGGACAAGGGGGUUUUAAUUCCUGAAAAACAGCUCAAACACCCAUUACCCUGGUGAUCC